This is a long non-coding RNA of Lineus longissimus, 671 nucleotides long. RefSeq lists it as uncharacterized. The record is from RefSeq and is a predicted model, not a curated record. The transcript is spliced from 3 exons. Lineage: Eukaryota; Metazoa; Nemertea; Pilidiophora; Heteronemertea; Lineidae.
GUGGGAGCUGCGGAGAACAUCGCGGGAACACUUUCUCCGAUUUCAAACGUAAAAAUGCCUUCAAAGUUUCUGAAACAAAUCAAAACGGCUGCAGCAGAAGAGGUGACAGACCCCGCGGCCCAUGAGGUGUGAAAGCGAGAAUGAUGAGUGCCAAUCUUCAGAAUGACGAGGUGGCAGUGCCCAGUUUAAGCAGGGUCAUGGAACAACUCUUCCCUCCGUGAAAAGACCUCCAUGGAGACAGAAAUAACUCUGGGCCAUGUCUCAGUAGAACCAUACCUUAUCCCGAUCGACGUGACCAACCAAUAGGGAAGGACAUGUUUUCCAGUGGUCAUUCCAUUCUGCUACACUAGGAUGCGAAUCCUACCAAACUGGAGCGCCACCUGUUCACACAUGUAGUGCCUUCAUAGCUUUUUGUUAGAAAUAUCUUUUUGUAAACUACCGGUAUGAAAUUACGUUCACCUGUAAUUCUAAUGGUUUUUGCAUUGAAAGUGACAUCUUUAUUACACAAUGUACAUUAAUUUCGAUAAGAUUGUCCGUGUUUGCAAUGAUGCAGGUUUGCAUUGAAACAACUUGGUGUACUGUAAGAUUUCUAUUGUGCCAUAGUUAUCUCUCCUUACCUUAUAUUGAGUUUUGCUUGAAUGUUCUGACAUGAUUGAUGCAAAAUAAAGUUA